UCUUAUGUGGCUCAGUUGGUAGAGCAUGGUGCUGGCAUUUCCAGGGAUGUGGGUUCGAUUCCCACAGGGGGAC
This 73-nucleotide transfer RNA is filed under the name Salmo salar (Atlantic salmon). It matches the Rfam family "tRNA". From Rfam's summary of the family: Transfer RNA (tRNA) molecules are approximately 80 nucleotides in length. The record is from Rfam by way of RNAcentral. Lineage: Eukaryota; Metazoa; Chordata; Actinopteri; Salmoniformes; Salmonidae.